This 349-nucleotide unclassified non-coding RNA is filed under the name fungal sp. RNAcentral describes it as "partial internal transcribed spacer region". The stretch from base 1 to 46 matches the Rfam family "Eukaryotic small subunit ribosomal RNA", at positions 1786 to 1831 of the family's 1831-position model. The record is from RNAcentral. Lineage: Eukaryota; Fungi.
AAGUCGUAACAAGGUAACCGUAGGUGAACCUGCGGUUGGAUCAUUAAUAAAAUCUUUUAAUUGUUAAGUGAGUUGGAUUAAAUUUAUUUUUCUUUUAACUCACUUUUCAAACAUUUUGUGAACUGUUUUACUGUUUUUUGGUAGGGCUUAUAGAAUAAAUUUUUAUAAUUUAUUUGGGAUAUUAUUGUGUGUAGCAAUACCAUAUAUAUAUGUUUUACCUACCAAUUUUUUAAACUCUUUAAAAAUAUUUAUAUACAAGUCUUUAAAAAAAAAUUUAAAUUUGUUUACAAAUUUUUAUAUUAUUAUAAAAUUAUAAAACAACUUUUGACAACGGAUCUCUAGGCUCUCA